RNAcentral lists this transfer RNA (73 nucleotides) under Haloechinothrix halophila YIM 93223. RNAcentral describes it as "Amycolatopsis halophila YIM 93223 tRNA". It matches the Rfam family "tRNA". Rfam says of the family: Transfer RNA (tRNA) molecules are approximately 80 nucleotides in length. Their secondary structure includes four short double-helical elements and three loops (D, anti-codon, and T loops). Further hydrogen bonds mediate the characteristic L-shaped molecular structure. tRNAs have two regions of fundamental functional importance: the anti-codon, which is responsible for specific mRNA codon recognition, and the 3' end, to which the tRNAs corresponding amino acid is attached (by aminoacyl-tRNA synthetases). tRNAs cope with the degeneracy of the genetic code in two manners: having more than one tRNA (with a specific anti-codon) for a particular amino acid; and 'wobble' base-pairing, i.e. permitting non-standard base-pairing at the 3rd anti-codon position. RNAcentral also lists the same sequence under 1 other name. The record is from Rfam by way of RNAcentral. Lineage: Bacteria; Bacillati; Actinomycetota; Actinomycetes; Pseudonocardiales; Pseudonocardiaceae.
GGGCCGUUAGCUCAAUUGGCAGAGCUGCGGACUUUUAAUCCGUAGGUUCUGGGUUCGAGUCCCAGGCGGCCCA